CCUACGGGGAGCAGCAGUAGGGAAUCUUCCACAAUGGGCGAAAGCCUGAUGGAGCAACGCCGCGUGGGUGAAGAAGGUCUUCGGAUCGUAAAACCCUGUUGUUAGAGAAGAAAGUGCGUGAGAGUAACUGUUCACGUUUCGACGGUAUCUAACCCGAAAGCCACGGCUAACUACGUGCCAGCAGCCGCGGUAAUACUUAGGUGGCAAGCGUUAUCCGGAUUUUUUGGGCGUAAAGGGAACGCAGGCGGUCUUUUAAGUCUGAUGUGAAAGCCUUCGGCUUAACCGGAGUAGUGCAUUGGAAACUGGGAGACUUGAGUGCAGAAGAGGAGAGUGGAACUCCAUGUGUAGCGGUGAAAUGCGUAGAUAUAUGGAAGAACACCAGUGGCGAAAGCGGCUCUAUGGUCUGUAACUGACGCUGAGGUUCGAAAGCGUGGGUAGCAAACAGGAUUAGAUACCCGUGUAGUC
Molecule: ribosomal RNA, 465 nt
Filed under: uncultured bacterium
Lineage: Bacteria
Description: partial 16S ribosomal RNA
Rfam family: Bacterial small subunit ribosomal RNA
Source: RNAcentral